This 200-nucleotide unclassified non-coding RNA is filed under the name soil metagenome. Its description in RNAcentral is "partial contains internal transcribed spacer 2 and large subunit ribosomal RNA". The record is from RNAcentral.
UCCUCCCUCAAACCUCGUGUUUGGUGUUGGGCUGAGUUGCUUCCGCGACUGGCCUCAAAGACAAUGACGGCGUCCGCGGGACCCUCGGUGCAACGAGCUUUUAGGAGCACGCGUCGAGUUUCAAGGUCCCUCCGGGCCGGUCUAACCCUUUUUACUUCAAGGUUGACCUCGGAUCAGGUAGGAAUACCCGCUGAACUUAA